AAACCAACAGGGAUUGCCUCAGUAACGGCGAGCGAAGCGGCAAGAGCUCAAAUUUGAAAGCUAGCGUCAUUUUGGCGUUCGCGUUGUAAUUUGAAGAUGGCAACUUUGGAAACGGCCCUUGCAUAUGUUCCUUGGAACAGGACAUCAUAGAGGGUGAGAAUCCCGUACAUGGUGGGGAGUCCGUUUCUAUGUAAAGUGCUAUCCAAGAGUCGAGUUGUUUGGGAAUGCAGCUCUAAGUGGGUGGUAAAUUCCAUCUAAGGCUAAAUAUAGGCGAGAGACCGAUAGCGAACAAGUACAGUGAUGGAAAGAUGAAAAGAACUUUGAAAAGAGAGUGAAAAAGUACGUGAAAUUGUUGAAAGGGAAGGGCUUGAAAUCAGACUUGGCUUGUAGUGAUCAACUGUCUUUCGGGACUGUGCACUCGCUACUUGCUAGGCCAACAUCAGCUCUGGCGGUGAGAUAAUAGUAGUGGAAUGUGACUUUGCUUCGGUAAAGUGUUAUAGCCACAUGCUGAUGUCGCCAGCCGGGGCUGAGGACCGCGCUUUUAGCUAGGAUGUUGGCGUAAUGAUUUUAAGCCAC
This 576-nucleotide ribosomal RNA is filed under the name Blastobotrys niveus. RNAcentral describes it as "eukaryotic LSU rRNA". It matches the Rfam family "Eukaryotic large subunit ribosomal RNA", at positions 62 to 648 of the family's 3401-position model. The record is from RNAcentral. Lineage: Eukaryota; Fungi; Ascomycota; Dipodascomycetes; Dipodascales; Trichomonascaceae.